CAAGGUGUGGCUAAAUAGUAAAGCACCUCCCUUACACCGAGAAGAUAUCUGUGCAAUUCAGAUCCCCUUGA
RNAcentral lists this transfer RNA (71 nucleotides) under Myctophum nitidulum (pearly lanternfish). RNAcentral describes it as "tRNA-Val". It matches the Rfam family "tRNA". Rfam says of the family: Transfer RNA (tRNA) molecules are approximately 80 nucleotides in length. Their secondary structure includes four short double-helical elements and three loops (D, anti-codon, and T loops). The record is from RNAcentral. Lineage: Eukaryota; Metazoa; Chordata; Actinopteri; Myctophiformes; Myctophidae.